Molecule: ribosomal RNA, 254 nt
Filed under: uncultured bacterium
Lineage: Bacteria
Description: partial 16S ribosomal RNA
Rfam family: Bacterial small subunit ribosomal RNA
Source: RNAcentral
UACGUAGGGGGCAAGCGUUGUCCGGAUUUAUUGGGCGUAAAGAGCUCGUAGGCGGUUUGGCAAGUCAGAUGUGAAAUCUCCAGACUCAACCUGGAGGGGUCAUCUGAUACUGCCAUGACUAGAGGUCGGUAGGGGAGUGUGGAAUUCCUGGUGGAGCGGUGAAAUGCGCAGAUAUCAGGAGGAACACCCGUAGCGAAGGCGGCACUCUGGGCCGAUACUGACGCUGAGGAGCGAAAGCGUGGGGAGCGAACAGG